GAUGAACGCUGGCGGCGUGCCUAAUACAUGCAAGUCGAGCGAACAGAUGAGGAGCUUGCUCCUCUGACGUUAGCGGCGGACGGGUGAGUAACACGUGGAUAACCUACCUAUAAGACUGGGAUAACUUCGGGAAACCGGAGCUAAUACCGGAUAAUAUAUUGAACCGCAUGGUUCAAUAGUGAAAGACGGUUUUGCUGUCACUUAUAGAUGGAUCCGCGCCGCAUUAGCUAGUUGGUAAGGUAACGGCUUACCAAGGCAACGAUGCGUAGCCGGCCUGAGAGGGUGAUCGGCCACACUGGAACUGAGACACGGUCCAGACUCCUACGGGAGGCAGCAGUAGGGAAUCUUCCGCAAUGGGCGAAAGCCUGACGGAGCAACGCCGCGUGAGUGAUGAAGGUCUUCGGAUCGUAAAACUCUGUUAUUAGGGAAGAACAAAUGUGUAAGUAACUAUGCACGUCUUGGCGGUACCUAAUCAGAAAGCCACGGCUAACUACGUG
RNAcentral lists this ribosomal RNA (497 nucleotides) under uncultured bacterium. Its description in RNAcentral is "partial 16S ribosomal RNA". It matches the Rfam family "Bacterial small subunit ribosomal RNA", at positions 28 to 507 of the family's 1533-position model. The record is from RNAcentral.